Molecule: ribosomal RNA, 414 nt
Filed under: uncultured bacterium
Lineage: Bacteria
Description: bacterial SSU rRNA
Rfam family: Bacterial small subunit ribosomal RNA
Source: RNAcentral
AACGAACGCUGGCGGCGCGCCUAGUACAUGCAAGUCGAGCGAGAAGACGUAGCAAUACGUUUGUAAAGCGGCGAACGGGUGAGGAAUACAUGGGUAACCUACCCUCGAGUGGGGAAUAACUAGCCGAAAGGUUAGCUAAUACCGCGUACGCUCCUUGGACUUCGGUUCAGGGAGGAAAGCGAUACCGUGGGUAUCGCGCUCUUGGAUGGGCUCAUGUCCUAUCAGCUUGUUGGUGAGGAACGGCUCACCAAGGCUUCGACGGGUAGCUGGUCUGAGAGGACGAUCAGCCACACUGGCACUGCGACACGGGCCAGACUCCUACGGGGAGGCAGCAGUAAGGAAUAUUGCGCAAUGGGCGAAAGCCUGACGCAGCGACGCCGCGUGGGGGAUGAAGGUCUUCGGAUUGUAAACCCC